UACGAAGGGCCCAAGCGUUAUCCGGAUUUAUUGGGGUUAAAGGGUGCGUAGGCGGGUUAUUAAGUCAGUGGUGAAAGCCUGCAGCUUAACUGCAGAAUUGCCAUUGAUACUGAUGAUCUUGAGUAUGAUUGAGGUGGGCGGAAUGUGUCAUGUAGCGGUGAAAUGCUUAGAUAUGACACAGAACACCGAUUGCGAAGGCAGCUCACUAAGUCAUAACUGACGCUGAUGCACGAAAGCGUGGGGAGCAAACAGG
This 253-nucleotide ribosomal RNA is filed under the name uncultured bacterium. RNAcentral describes it as "partial 16S ribosomal RNA". It matches the Rfam family "Bacterial small subunit ribosomal RNA", at positions 524 to 776 of the family's 1533-position model. The record is from RNAcentral.